Gallus gallus (chicken) is the source of this 1606-nucleotide long non-coding RNA. The record is from Ensembl. NCBI's taxonomy places the organism in Eukaryota, Metazoa, Chordata, Aves, Galliformes, Phasianidae.
AUGAAUGCUGCAAAUACUGAAUGCACGGCCUGUUUCCAAGGCUGUCUUUUAACUCCUGCAGGAAGCGCUAGAGGAAUCGUCCAUGUUUUAAUUGCUAGAAGAAAGCUGGAGAAAAAUCUGCUGACAAGCAUCCAAAGUGUGUUAUGUUUUGUUUCAAUCGCGGCAAGGCACGUGUGCAGCCUGUUUAGUGCAGAAUCAGAGGAGAGGUCCCUCCAAUGUUUGCACCUGAGGAAGUCCUUGGGAACCGAUACUUCUCUGCUCUAUGUGGAAUUCCUCUCCUAUUAGACAAAUCAGCUCUGCUGGACUCUGCCGCAAGCCCUGCUCCCUUCCGCUGUGUGCCAGCAAAUUAUGUACCACUCACUGCGUCAGAUGGGUGCAUCAGGAAGUUGGAGUUGCAAAGCAGAAGUUGGGAACAAUCGUAUCUUUAUUUGUUUCUUGAGACAUUGUCUGGUGCCUGCAGGAAAAUACGCUCCUGAAGCUGCAUGCACUGUUCCUUCCCAAUUCCCAUGUCAGCCACAUGGCCCCUGCGUGCCUUUCCCUGUCUGUAUGACAUGUAUGUGAAUAAUUCUUUGUCUGUGUGGUUGGGCUACGAACAUGUAACGAUCUUUAAGCCUGAAGACCAUACUCAAGUAUAGGCUUCUGCACUUAAAAGCUUCUGUUUUUUUUUCCUGAGAUGGUAUCAUUUGAGUUUUAAUCCCCAGACUAGAUUGAUGGCUUUCAAUUGCAAAACCUGGUAGACAUGCUGAUGAUAUAUGUCAUGGCUCACAUUAAAUCAACGAGGAAUAAGGAUAUACAACUGCCAACCUAAUUCCAGCUUCUGUUAAAUCAGAAUGGCCCCACUGUGUGGUUACUUAUACUUGAUGAUAGGUGAGUGCAGCACGUCAGCAUAUCUUCCUUGUGUCAUCUGUUACAGCUAUAACACUCAUGCAAUUUUUGAACAAUGGUGAUUGAGUGUGAUUUGGCAGUUUGAACCUCAGGAAGCCGUAUAUUUCCCCAUGACACCAUGCUAUCUAAUAUACCGGCUAUCUCAGAUUGCAUCAGCUCCGAAAGCUAGCAUAGAGGUUAUGACUUAAGGUGAAUAAUAAAGUCCAUUUAUUGGUUAUUAGACAUGAAGCAAUAACAUUUCUGGCAUUCCACCUCCCAAAUCUGACAGCCAUUUCUCCUGCAGCAGAGGGAACGCGCUGUCUGCAUUGCACACUCCUUGCUGGUGUGUUUGGGGGUGCACUUUCUGGAGGGGCUGUGCAGCUGAGCACCGGAGGCCAGGGCAGGAGAGGUGGGCAGUGCGUGAGGUCUAAACACAUGCAGAAAGUAUCCAUAGGAUGUGCCAUUCUGACAUGAGUAGAAGCGGAGGCUUUCUGGCCUGGAAGGGCCGCUUUCUGCUACUUGUGGUAGAAGGCCCACUGUAGGAACAGGCAUGAUCUGUGGUGUUGGUGGUCUUUCUAUCCUUAGUAAGUGAACUACAGUAGUUAUUUACUGUAGAAAACUUUUAGGCAUGCUCCAGGUAUUUGAACCUCACCAUGAGUUUUAAAGUCCUGUCUUGCAGACUGUUCCUGUCUCAUUGCUCUUCUGUUCAUGAGUUCUCAAAUAAUUCUUUCCAUUUUUUCCU